UCUCGGUGAUGAUGAAAAAUGAUGACGAGUCCGAUCUCUAAUCCAUUCACCCUUGACGACAAUUGAGGCAUUUGUCUGAGAGAA
Molecule: small nucleolar RNA, 84 nt
Organism: Cucurbita moschata (crookneck pumpkin)
Lineage: Eukaryota; Viridiplantae; Streptophyta; Magnoliopsida; Cucurbitales; Cucurbitaceae
Source: RefSeq, a predicted model, not a curated record